This 979-nucleotide long non-coding RNA is filed under the name Betta splendens (Siamese fighting fish). RNAcentral describes it as "lncRNA (ENSBSLG00000007021.1)". The record is from RNAcentral. Lineage: Eukaryota; Metazoa; Chordata; Actinopteri; Anabantiformes; Osphronemidae.
GCUUAACCUAAAUUUUUUCCUUUAAUAGGGCAAUUCUUGCUAUUGAAUGACAUAUUAUGACUGUCUAAUGACUAUUUUAUAGUUUAGUAAUUACUCACACACGACCUCUAAAUCCUUUCAAAAUAAAAGCACCAAUCCAGAUUUUUAGCUUUAAUAGCACUAUUUGUGCUUUUGAAUGGGUAAUCAUGACUGGUUAGUGUGACUGUUUUACAGUUUAGCUAUUAAGCACGUACAGCCCCUCUACAUCCUUUCAAAAUAAAAGCCCCAAUCCUGAUCUUUAGCUAAAGAUAACAAUAGUUCUGCUUUCAACAGGUGUAUUAUGACUAGUUAUUUAGACUAAUAUACUGUUUAGCAAAUACCUGCACAGGCAUUUUCCAUAUUCUUUUAAAAUAAAAGCACCAAUCCAAAUUUUUAGCUUUAAUAGGACUAUUUAUACUUUUUAAUGGGUAAUCGUGACUGGUUAUUGUGACUGUUUUACAGUUUAGCUAUUAAGCACACACAGCUUCUCCACAUCCUUUCAAAAUAAAAGCCCAAAUCCUGAUUUUUAACUAAAGAUAGCAAUAUUUCUGCUUCCAACAGGUUUAUUAUGACUAUUUAUUUAGACUAAAAUACUGCACACACAGUUUCUCCAAAUCCUUUCAAAAUAAAAGCCCCAUUCCAGAUCUUUAGCUAAAAAGGGCAAUAUUUCUGCGUUCAGCUGGUGUAUUGUUACUAGAUGAUAAGACAAUCUUAAUGUUUAGAAAUCGCCUGCACAAGUGUCCUCGAUAUCCUUUCAAAAUAAAAAUAAAAUUCACAAAAAAAAAAAAAUAAUAAUAACCACAGCUGAGCUACAGCUGACAAACAACAAAAACACAAUUUAGAAAUACUAAUAACAUAAAAUCACUGCAAAGCAGGUACUAAAUAGAUAGUUAACAAACAACAGACACAGAACUAAAUGACUGCCACAAAACGGCAGAGAAAGCUCUUGGAUUAAGGGCUG